UACGUAGGGGGCGAGCGUUAUCCGGAUUCACUGGGUGUAAAGGGAGCGUAGACGGCCAUGCAAGCCAGGGGUGAAAGCCCGGGGCCCAACCCCGGGACUGCCCUUGGAACUGUGCGGCUAGAGUGCGGGAGGGGCAGGCGGAAUUCCUGGUGUAGCGGUGAAAUGCGUAGAUAUCAGGAGGAGCACCGGCGGCGAAGGCGGCCUGCUGGACCGCGACUGACGUUGAGGCUCGAAAGCGUGGGGAGCGAACAGG
RNAcentral lists this ribosomal RNA (253 nucleotides) under uncultured bacterium. RNAcentral describes it as "partial 16S ribosomal RNA". It matches the Rfam family "Bacterial small subunit ribosomal RNA", at positions 524 to 776 of the family's 1533-position model. The record is from RNAcentral.